RNAcentral lists this ribosomal RNA (468 nucleotides) under uncultured bacterium. RNAcentral's name for it is "partial 16S ribosomal RNA". It matches the Rfam family "Bacterial small subunit ribosomal RNA", at positions 28 to 507 of the family's 1533-position model. The record is from RNAcentral.
GACGAACGCUGGCGGCGUGCUUAACACAUGCAAGUCGAACGGAAAGGCCCUGCUUUUGUGGGGUGCUCGAGUGGCGAACGGGUGAGUAACACGUGAGUAACCUGCCCUUGACUUUGGGAUAACUUCAGGAAACUGGGGCUAAUACCGGAUAGGAGCUCCUGCUGCAUGGUGGGGGUUGGAAAGUUUCGUCGGUUGGGGAUGGACUCGCGGCUUAUCAGCUUGUUGGUGGGGUAGUGGCUUACCAAGGCUUUGACGGGUAGCCGGCCUGAGAGGGUGACCGGCCACAUUGGGACUGAGAUACGGCCCAGAAUCCUACGGGAGGCAGCAGUGGGGAAUAUUGCACAAUGGGAGGAAGCCUGAUGCAGCAACGCCGCGUGCGGGAUGACGGCCUUCGGGUUGUAAACCGCUUUCGCCUGUGACGAAGCGUGAGUGACGGUAAUGGGUAAAGAAGCACCGGCUAACUACGUG